CGGCAGCACGGGAGCAAUCCUGGUGGCGAGUGGCGAACGGGUGAGUAAAGUAUCGGAACGUGCCCAGUCGUGGGGGAUAACGCAGCGAAAGUUGUGCUAAUACCGCAUACGAUCUAUGGAUGAAAGCGGGGGAUCGCAAGACCUCGCGCGAUUGGAGCGGCCGAUAUCAGAUUAGGUAGUUGGUGGGGUAAAGGCUCACCAAGCCGACGAUCUGUAGCUGGUCUGAGAGGACGACCAGCCACACUGGAACUGAGACACGGUCCAGACUCCUACGGGAGGCAGCAGUGGGGAAUUUUGGACAAUGGGCGCAAGCCUGAUCCAGCAAUGCCGCGUGCAGGAUGAAGGCCUUCGGGUUGUAAACUGCUUUUGUACGGAACGAAAAGGCUCUGGUUAAUACCUGGGGCACAUGACGGUACCGUAAGAAUAAGCACCGGCUAACUACGUGCCAGCAGCCGCGGUAAUACGUAGGGUGCGAGCGUUAAUCGGAAUUACUGGGCGUAAAGCGUGCGCAGGCGGUAAUGCAAGACAGAUGUGAAAUCCCCGGGCUUAACCUGGGAACUGCAUUUGUGACUGCAUUGCUGGAGUGCGGCAGAGGGGGAUGGAAUUCCGCGUGUAGCAGUGAAAUGCGUAGAUAUGCGGAGGAACACCGAUGGCGAAGGCAAUCCCCUGGGCCUGCACUGACGCUCAUGCACGAAAGCGUGGGGAGCAAACAGGAUUAGAUACCCUGGUAGUCCACGCCCUAAACGAUGUCAACUGGUUGUUGGGGAUUAACUUCCUCAGUAACGAAGCUA
This 791-nucleotide ribosomal RNA is filed under the name uncultured Variovorax sp. RNAcentral's name for it is "bacterial SSU rRNA". It matches the Rfam family "Bacterial small subunit ribosomal RNA", at positions 67 to 854 of the family's 1533-position model. Lineage: Bacteria; Pseudomonadati; Pseudomonadota; Betaproteobacteria; Burkholderiales; Comamonadaceae. The record is from RNAcentral.